UACGGAGGGUGCAAGCGUUGCUCGGAAUCACUGGGCGUAAAGCGAACGCAGGCGGCACGUUAAGUCGGGUGUGAAAGCCCUGGGCUCAACCCAGGAAGUGCAUUCGAAACUGGCGCGCUAGAGUACGGGAGAGGGGAGUGGAAUUCCUGGUGUAGAGGUGAAAUUCGUAGAUAUCAGGAGGAACAUCGGUGGCGAAAGCGGCUCCCUGGUCCGUAACUGACGCUCAUGUUCGAGAGCGUGGGUAGCAAACAGG
This 253-nucleotide ribosomal RNA is filed under the name uncultured bacterium. RNAcentral describes it as "partial 16S ribosomal RNA". It matches the Rfam family "Bacterial small subunit ribosomal RNA", at positions 524 to 776 of the family's 1533-position model. The record is from RNAcentral.